This 1342-nucleotide ribosomal RNA is filed under the name Bacillus subtilis. RNAcentral's name for it is "bacterial SSU rRNA". It matches the Rfam family "Bacterial small subunit ribosomal RNA", at positions 139 to 1469 of the family's 1533-position model. The record is from RNAcentral. Lineage: Bacteria; Bacillati; Bacillota; Bacilli; Caryophanales; Bacillaceae.
UGGGAUAACUCCGGGAAACCGGGGCUAAUACCGGAUGGUUGUUUGAACCGCAUGGUUCAAACAUAAAAGGUGGCUUCGGCUACCACUUACAGAUGGACCCGCGGCGCAUUAGCUAGUUGGUGAGGUAACGGCUCACCAAGGCAACGAUGCGUAGCCGACCUGAGAGGGUGAUCGGCCACACUGGGACUGAGACACGGCCCAGACUCCUACGGGAGGCAGCAGUAGGGAAUCUUCCGCAAUGGACGAAAGUCUGACGGAGCAACGCCGCGUGAGUGAUGAAGGUUUUCGGAUCGUAAAGCUCUGUUGUUAGGGAAGAACAAGUACCGUUCGAAUAGGGCGGUACCUUGACGGUACCUAACCAGAAAGCCACGGCUAACUACGUGCCAGCAGCCGCGGUAAUACGUAAGGUGGCAAGGCGUUGUCCGGAAUUAUUGGGCGUAAAGGGCUCGCAGGCGGUUUCUUAAAGUCUGAUGUGAAAGCCCCCGGGCUCAACCGGGGAGGGUCAUUGGAAACUGGGGAACUUGAGUGCAGAAGAGGAGAGUGGAAUUCCACGUGUAGCGGUGAAAUGCGUAGAGAUGUGGAGGAACACCAGUGGCGAAGGCGACUCUCUGGUCUGUAACUGACGCUGAGGAGCGAAAGCGUGGGGAGCGAACAGGAUUAGAUACCCUGGUAGUCCACGCCGUAAACGAUGAGUGCUAAGUUGUUAGGGGGUUUCCGCCCCUUAGUGCUGCAGCUAACGCAUUAAGCACUCCGCCUGGGGAGUACGGUCGCAAGACUGAAACUCAAAGGAAUUGACGGGGGCCCGCACAAGCGGUGGAGCAUGUGGUUUAAUUCGAAGCAACGCGAAGAACCUUACCAGGUCUUGACAUCCUCUGACAAUCCUAGAGAUAGGACGUCCCCUUCGGGGGCAGAGUGACAGGUGGUGCAUGGUUGUCGUCAGCUCGUGUCGUGAGAUGUUGGGUUAAGUCCCGCAACGAGCGCAACCCUUGAUCUUAGUUGCCAGCAUUCAGUUGGGCACUCUAAGGUGACUGCCGGUGACAAACCGGAGGAAGGUGGGGAUGACGUCAAAUCAUCAUGCCCCUUAUGACCUGGGCUACACACGUGCUACAAUGGACAGAACAAAAGGGCAGCGAAACCGCGAGGUUAAGCCAAUCCCACAAAUCUGUUCUCAGUUCGGAUCGCAGUCUGCAACUCGACUGCGUGAAGCUGGAAUCGCUAGUAAUCGCGGAUCAGCAUGCCGCGGUGAAUACGUUCCCCGGGCCUUGUACACACCGCCCGUCACACCACGAGAGUUUGUACACCCGAAGUCGUGAGUACCUUUUAGAGCCAGCGCGAGUGGACA